Molecule: long non-coding RNA, 947 nt
Filed under: Homo sapiens (human)
Lineage: Eukaryota; Metazoa; Chordata; Mammalia; Primates; Hominidae
Description: non-protein coding lnc-OPHN1-3:1
Source: RNAcentral
GUAUCAACAGUUGGGUGCCAGCCAGUGAUGUACUGGUAAAUGCUUAACAACCAGCUCUUCUGAGAAAAAAAAGUCAGACCUGUAGCAUUUGCUGAUUUCUAUGCUGCAAAUACUCCCACAAUGGCUGAUUUCAUGCUAUCAAUGUUGUAUCACUGAAUGCAGAGUUGAGCAGAAGUACAGGAACAUACCAUUAUAUGUAUAUUCAGUAUUUCCACCAUACAUACAGAAUGGACAAAAUAACUUCAAGAGUGUAGAUAAGACCUAUAAUCCCAGCACUUCAGGAGGCCAAGGUGGGUGGGUCACCUGAGGUCAGGAGUUCAAGACCAACCUUGCCAACAUGGCCAGCAUGGCCAACAUUGCCAGGCAAAUUAGCCAGGUGUGGUGGUGCAUGCCGGUAAUCCCAGCUAUCGUUUCUUAGCAGGGACAGAUUUUUAUUAAUACAAUAGAUUUUUGUUGAUAGUUUAUUGUUUACUUCCUUUCCAAUUUGGAUCCCUUUUUUUUUCUUUUUCUUGCCCAAUUGUCCUGGAUAGGACCUCCAGCACAACAUUGAAUACAAAUGGCAAUGGCAGACGUCCUUGUCUGGUUCCUGAUCACAGGGGGAAAGCAUUCUAUCUUUUGUCAUUUAGUAAGAUGUUGGUUGUUGAUUUUUUGUAGAUGCCCUUUAUCGGUUGAGGACAUUCCUUCCAUUUGUUGGGUGAAGGAAUGUUGCAUACUUUUAAAUCCUCCUUCUGUAUCUAUUUAGACGAUCAUGUGCUUUUUGACUUUUAUUCUAUUAAAAUGGUGUAUUAUAUUGAUUUUUGGAUGUUGAACCAACUUUGCACUCUUGGGAUAAAUCACACCUGGUCAUGGUCAUGCUUCCCAAUUUCAGGGUUACAAUCAAGAAGAUUAGGUUGUAUUAGCAAAAGUAUAGACAUAGAAAUCAAUGGAACCAAUUUGAGUCUAGAAGU